GAUGAACGCUAGCGGCAGGCCCAACACAUGCAAGUCGAGGGGCAGCGAGAUGUAGCAAUACAUUGUCGGCGACCGGCGUAAGGGUGCGUAACACGUGAGUAACUUGCCCGUAACAGGGGGAUAAGCGAUGGAAACGUCGUCUAAUACCCCAUAAUAAUUGUUAUCGCAUGAUGAUGAUUUGAAAAUUCCGAUGGUUACGGAUAGACUCGCGUUACAUUAGCUAGUUGGUGAGGUAACGGCUCACCAAGGCGACGAUGUAUAGGGGUUCUGAGAGGAAGAUCCCCCACACUGGAACUGAGACACGGUCCAGACUCCUACGGGAGGCAGCAGUGAGGAAUAUUGGACAAUGGAGGGAACUCUGAUCCAGCCAUGCCGCGUGAAGGACUAAGGCCCUAUGGGUCGUAAACUUCUUUUGACGCAGAGCAAUAAGAGAUACGAGUAUUUUGAUGAGAGUAUGCGUCGAAUAAGCAUCGGCUAACUCCGUGCCAGCAGCCGCGGUAAUACGGAGGAUGCGAGCGUUAUCCGGGAUUUAUUGGGUUUAAAGGGUGCGUAGGCGGUUGUACAAGUCAGUGGUGAAAUACGAACGCUCAACGUUCGGGCUGCCAUUGAAACUGUACGGCUAGAGUUCGGAUGCCGUGGGAGGAAUGAGUAGUGUAGCGGUGAAAUGCAUAGAUAUUACUCAGAACACCGAUUGCGAAGGCAUCUCACGAAUGCGAAACUGACGCUGAUGCACGAAAGCGUGGGGAUCAAACAGGAUUAGAUACCCUGGUAGUCCACGCUGUAAACGAUGAUAACUAACUGCCGGCGAUAAACGGUCGGUGGCCAAGCGAAAGCGAUAAGUUAUCCACCUGGGGAGUACGACCGCAAGGUUGAAACUCAAAGGAAUUGACGGGGGCCCGCACAAGCGGAGGAACAUGUGGUUUAAUUCGAUGAUACGCGAGGAACCUUACCCAGGCUCGAACGGCAUAUGAAUAUUGCAGAGAUGUGAUAGUCUUCGGACAUAUGUCGAGGUGCUGCAUGGUUGUCGUCAGCUCGUGCCGUGAGGUGUCGGCUUAAGUGCCAUAACGAGCGCAACCCUUGUCGUUAGUUACCAUCAAGUAAAGUUGGGGACUCUAACGAGACUGCCACCGCAAGGUGUGAGGAAGGGGGGGAUGACGUCAAAUCAGCACAGCCCUUACGUCUGGGGCGACACACGUGUUACAAUGGUAGGUACAGAGGGCAGCUAUUGAGUGAUCAAGUGCAAAUCUCAAAAACCUAUCUCAGUUCGGACUGGAGUCUGCAACCCGACUCCACGAAGCUGGAUUCGCUAGUAAUCGCGCAUCAGCCAUGGCGCGGUGAAUACGUUCCCGGGCCU
Molecule: ribosomal RNA, 1354 nt
Filed under: uncultured bacterium
Lineage: Bacteria
Description: bacterial SSU rRNA
Rfam family: Bacterial small subunit ribosomal RNA
Source: RNAcentral